This is a long non-coding RNA of Nannospalax galili (Upper Galilee mountains blind mole rat), 1433 nucleotides long. RefSeq lists it as uncharacterized. Lineage: Eukaryota; Metazoa; Chordata; Mammalia; Rodentia; Spalacidae. The transcript has 4 exons. The record is from RefSeq and is a predicted model, not a curated record.
CAAAUGCUGUGGAAAUUGCUCCUGACAGUUAUUCAAUUAUUGUUGUGAUUCAACUCUCCACUCUGCUCAGGAUGGACACACAGUGUUCCUACCCAGCCUUCUGUGCCUAUGGCCCAAACCACCCAUGUGUGCCAGGGAGAAUAGAUUUCCUUCUACACAGAUGUGAGGACACAAGAGCAGAGAAAGCACCAGGCCUGCAGUGGUGGCAGAAAACAGGAGGACCAGAGAACAAAGGGCAAGCAGAGCAAGAUCCUGGUAAAUCUGUGCAACCCAUUUGGCAGAGGGAAGCUCAAAGUGGGAUAUCCCAACUGAAUGUAUGGAGGACUCUCGAGUCCUUGGUCUUCAACUGUACACUAAUCGGAGAUGGCACGUUUGGGCAGUGAGCUUGGGUGGAGAGCUUCACGUUCGUCUGUCGUGGUUGGCCUCUUCUGUACAGGAAGCAGAGCACGGAAGGCUGCCAUACUCAUCCUAUGACCCACUAUGGUGUCCGUGGCCCACGGCUGUGUGUGUAGCCCCAGCACUGCUCCAGGAGGGCGUGUUGUUCAGCAGUUUCAAUGGUAAAUCCCAUCCUUAAAGAAAGAUAACGGUCAUGAGUUUCCUUCUGUAGCCGCUCCAGUUGGCUACUGUCCCUGGAAUCCAUGUUGUCAUGGUGGGCUUUUCUUUUUCAACGGGGCGGGGCAUUCCAAGAGCUCAGAAUUAAGGUGCAUCACCAAGUUCCACAAAGCUGCCCUUGUUUUUUCUUUUUUACCUCUCCUAAGAAAUUAUUAUGGUUUGGGGACUCUCAAAAUUCCAAGGUUGAAAUCACAUGCAAGUCAAGUAGUCCUCUCUUAUCAUGCCACUGUCAAAACCAAAGAACAGGGCGAUGGUGAUGCAAUGGUUGCCUGGCCCUGGGAAGGGGCUCCACCUUCACUUAACUAAGCUCUUCAUUCCCCAGACUGUUUGGAAUUGCUCCCACUUACCCUGUCUCUUCCUACCUUCUCCCUAGUCUGUUUUCACCCUCCAUCCCCAAGUCCCUAAACUAGGCAAGGUGAGCAGCAGGGUCAGACCACACUAUGUGAGUGCAUAUUCCCUGUUGAUUUAUCUUUGGAAAGGACUCUUUCCCAACGUGAGGAAGGCAGUCCCAGUCCAUUACUGUUCCACUACUAAUGACUUUAAACUCAAGCUACACAGCAGCUGCUGAUGGGGUGGAGCAAUGACAGGAGAGAAAGAAGAAGCUCGGGAAGAUGCUUUACUCGCAUCAGCCCUCUGAUAAACGAGGUGUCUGCUAGUGUGUCCAGAAACUCAGGUCCCUUCCGUCUCCAGAGUCCAGGGCUUCAGCACACAAAAGGGGCAGCCACUGCUUCUCUUCAAACAGAGGACUUGUUGCACUUGGUGGCAAAGAGCCCACAAAUAACUGAGCUGUGCUUUGGAAAUGGAUCUGAUGAGCCUUUUAA